CUACGGGCGGCUCCAAUGGGGAAUCUUAGACAAUGGGCGCAAGCCUGAUCUAGCCAUGCCGCGUGAGUGACGAAGGCCUUAGGGUCGUAAAGCUCUUUCGCUGGGGAAGAUAAUGACGGUACCCAGUAAAGAAACCCCGGCUAACUCCGUGCCAGCAGCCGCGGUAAUACGGAGGGGGUUAGCGUUGUUCGGAAUUACUGGGCGUAAAGCGCGCGUAGGCGGAUCAGAAAGUUGGGGGUGAAAUCCCGGGGCUCAACCCCGGAACUGCCUUCAAAACUCCUGGUCUUGAGUUCGAGAGAGGUGAGUGGAAUUCCGAGUGUAGAGGUGAAAUUCGUAGAUAUUCGGAGGAACACCAGUGGCGAAGGCGGCUCACUGGCUCGAUACUGACGCUGAGGUGCGAAAGCGUGGGGAGCAAACAGGAUUAGAUACCCGUGUAGUC
Molecule: ribosomal RNA, 439 nt
Filed under: uncultured bacterium
Lineage: Bacteria
Description: partial 16S ribosomal RNA
Rfam family: Bacterial small subunit ribosomal RNA
Source: RNAcentral